UACGAAGGGGGCUAGCGUUGUUCGGAAUUACUGGGCGUAAAGCGCGCGCAGGCGGUCUUCCAAGUCAGUGGUGAAAGCCCGGAGCUCAACUCCGGAACUGCCAUUGAAACUGUUGGACUUGAGGAUGAGAGAGGUGAGUGGAAUUCCCAGUGUAGAGGUGAAAUUCGUAGAUAUCGGGAGGAACACCAGUGGCGAAGGCGGUUGCCUGGAGCUUUGCUGACGCUGAUGCGCGAAAGCGUGGGGAGCGAACAGG
RNAcentral lists this ribosomal RNA (253 nucleotides) under uncultured bacterium. RNAcentral's name for it is "partial 16S ribosomal RNA". It matches the Rfam family "Bacterial small subunit ribosomal RNA", at positions 524 to 776 of the family's 1533-position model. The record is from RNAcentral.